UCCUGUUGCCCUAAGGAGAAACUCCGGUGGGUGCCGCCCCGCUGGGUGCUGCCUGGGCGUGCACGCCAGCUGCCCACGCUCCUCUCAGCCACAGCAGCAUUGCAGAGGACUAGAAACAUGUGGAGACUGGAGAGCUUCACCACGGUGGCAAAGGGUCCUCAAGGUCACGGUGGGCAGACUUUGCUUGUAGGACAACGUGUGCUGCCGAGGGGCCCGCUGGGCUGACUGCCUCUGAUCCCUCAAAGUCGUGUCUGGCUUGUGGUCUCAGCCAAUGAUCGAACUCCCUGUGCCAAAGAACUGCACUCGAGGGAAUCAGGAGGUAUUGCUACGCAGUGCGAAACAGUGUCACCUGCCACGCAGAAAGCAAAUGUAUCAGCGUUGACAGGCCAUGUCCAGUGGAGCGUAUUAGAAAAGUUGUGUGGAGGAAGGGAAGACUGCCUAGAGGAGGGCAGAGUCACUUAGCAAUUUAUGGCUACUUCUUGGGAAGUAAAGAAGCAAUGGACUAUCUGGACUCUACCAGAGGAAUGGAUGAAGAUAGCAUACCUAUCUCACAGGAUCACUAUGAGGAUCAUUUAGUUAACCUCUAUGCAGAGCUGUGAAUAUGUGUAGUUUUAAAGUUAAUAUUCAUAUUAAACUCUUUCAGUCAUAGAACUCUCCACUACAUCUAGGAAGAAGAAAAUAUUUUUCAUAGACUACCAAAAGUAAAUAAUAAAGGUAUGUUUUGGAAACAAAUGAGUUGGUUUUGCAUGAGGAAAUAAACUGAGCCGUUUACUCACACUUUUAACUUACUGUCUUUAUUUUACACGUUAUGGAACAUUAUGACCGCCAAGUGAAGCAUUCAGAAAUUAGACAAUGCCAGAAUUAAGGUUGCUGUCUUAAUUCAGCUCCUAAAUGUGGCUAUCUGUAGAAAUGAUAAAGUCUUAUUAUGAUGUUAAUAACAUGGUAUAUUUCCAUAGGACUUGUACAAUACAUAGGCUGGAUAGUGCACACCAGAUGAGUGGCUAUUAAAUAUUUUA
Long non-coding RNA from Dromaius novaehollandiae (emu), 1016 nucleotides. RefSeq lists it as uncharacterized. The transcript is spliced from 3 exons. The record is from RefSeq and is a predicted model, not a curated record. Lineage: Eukaryota; Metazoa; Chordata; Aves; Casuariiformes; Dromaiidae.